CCUACGGGCGGCAGCAGUGGGGAAUAUUGGACAAUGGGGGCAACCCUGAUCCAGCCAUGCCGCGUGUGUGAAGAAGGCCCUCGGGUUGUAAAGCACUUUCAGUGAGGAAGAACGCCUGGUGGUUAAUACCCAUCAGGAAAGACAUCACUCACAGAAGAAGCACCGGCUAACUCCGUGCCAGCAGCCGCGGUAAUACGGAGGGUGCGAGCGUUAAUCGGAAUUACUGGGCGUAAAGCGCGCGUAGGUGGCUUGAUAAGCCGGUUGUGAAAGCCCCGGGCUCAACCUGGGAACGGCAUCCGGAACUGUCAAGCUAGAGUGCAGGAGAGGAAGGUAGAAUUCCCGGUGUAGCGGUGAAAUGCGUAGAGAUCGGGAGGAAUACCAGUGGCGAAGGCGGCCUUCUGGACUGAAACUGACACUGAGGUGCGAAAGCGUGGGGAGCAAACAGGAUUAGAUACCCCAGUAGUC
This 465-nucleotide ribosomal RNA is filed under the name Vreelandella stevensii. Its description in RNAcentral is "partial 16S ribosomal RNA". It matches the Rfam family "Bacterial small subunit ribosomal RNA", at positions 338 to 795 of the family's 1533-position model. The record is from RNAcentral. Lineage: Bacteria; Pseudomonadati; Pseudomonadota; Gammaproteobacteria; Oceanospirillales; Halomonadaceae.